GAUGAAGAACGUAGCGAAAUGCGAUAAGUAAUGUGAAUUGCAGAAUUCAGUGAAUCAUCGAAUCUUUGAACGCACAUUGCGCCCGCCAGUAUUCUGCCGGGCAUGCCUGUCCGAGCGUCAUUUCUGCCCUCGAGCGAGUCCAGCAUCUAGGUGCUGGGCCCGCCCGGCGUUGGGGCACUACGGGAAGCCCUGUGCUGUCCCCCGUAGGCCCCGAAAUGAAGUGGCGGUCCUGCCGCGGCGCCCCCUGCGUAGUAUAACAGCUCGCUUCGGGACCCGGUGGAGGCCUGCCGUCAAACCUUACUCUCUAAGUUUGACCUCGGAUCAGGUAGGGUUACCCGCUGAACUUAAGCAUAUCAAAAGCGGAGGA
This 367-nucleotide unclassified non-coding RNA is filed under the name soil metagenome. RNAcentral describes it as "partial contains 5.8S ribosomal RNA, internal transcribed spacer 2, and large subunit ribosomal RNA". The stretch from base 1 to 120 matches the Rfam family "5.8S ribosomal RNA", at positions 35 to 154 of the family's 154-position model. The record is from RNAcentral.